This 253-nucleotide ribosomal RNA is filed under the name uncultured bacterium. RNAcentral describes it as "partial 16S ribosomal RNA". It matches the Rfam family "Bacterial small subunit ribosomal RNA", at positions 524 to 776 of the family's 1533-position model. The record is from RNAcentral.
UACGAAGGGUGCAAACGUUGCUCGGAAUUAUUGGGCGUAAAGCGCACGUAGGCGGCUUUGCAAGUCCCAUGUGAAAUCCCACGGCUCAACCGUGGAAGUGCAUGGGAAACUGCAAGGCUUGAGUACUUAAGAGGAUCGCGGAAUUCCCGGUGUAGAGGUGAAAUUCGUAGAUAUCGGGAGGAACACCAGUGGCGAAGGCGGCGAUCUGGGAAGAUACUGACGCUGAGGUGCGAAAGCGUGGGGAGCGAACAGG